AGCGAACGCUGGCGGCAGGCUUAACACAUGCAAGUCGAGCGGGCGUAGCAAUACGUCAGCGGCAGACGGGUGAGUAACGCGUGGGAACGUACCUUUUGGUUCGGAACAACACAGGGAAACUUGUGCUAAUACCGAAUAAGCCCUUACGGGGAAAGAUUUAUCGCCGAAAGAUCGGCCCGCGUCUGAUCAGCUAGUUGGUG
Molecule: ribosomal RNA, 200 nt
Filed under: uncultured bacterium
Lineage: Bacteria
Description: partial 16S ribosomal RNA
Rfam family: Bacterial small subunit ribosomal RNA
Source: RNAcentral